UGGAGCUCAGCUCAGUGGAAGAGAAUGUGCUUACUAUGCAUGAGGCUCUGGGUUCAAUCCCCAGCACUAA
Molecule: transfer RNA, 70 nt
Filed under: Marmota monax (woodchuck)
Lineage: Eukaryota; Metazoa; Chordata; Mammalia; Rodentia; Sciuridae
Description: tRNA.Ser
Source: RNAcentral